RNAcentral lists this ribosomal RNA (492 nucleotides) under uncultured bacterium. Its description in RNAcentral is "partial 16S ribosomal RNA". It matches the Rfam family "Bacterial small subunit ribosomal RNA", at positions 29 to 507 of the family's 1533-position model. The record is from RNAcentral.
AGUGAACGCUGGCGGUAGGCCUAACACAUGCAAGUCGAACGGCAGCACAGUAAGAGCUUGCUCUUACGGGUGGCGAGUGGCGGACGGGUGAGGAAUACAUCGGAAUCUACUUUUUCGUGGGGGAUAACGUAGGGAAACUUACGCUAAUACCGCAUACGACCUACGGGUGAAAGCAGGGGAUCUUCGGACCUUUCGCGAUUGAAUGAGCCGAUGUCGGAUUAGCUAGUUGGCGGGGUAAAGGCCCACCAAGGCGACGAUCCGUAACUGGUCUGAGAGGAUGAUCAGCCACACUGGAACUGAGACACGGUCCAGACUCCUACGGGAGGCAGCAGUGGGGAAUAUUGGACAAUGGGCGCAAGCCUGAUCCAGCCAUACCGCGUGGGUGAAGAAGGCCUUCGGGUUGUAAAGCCCUUUUGUUGGGAAAGAAAAGCAGCAGGUUAAUACCCCGCUGUUCUGACGGUACCCAAAGAAUAAGCACCGGCUAACUUCGUG